Molecule: ribosomal RNA, 642 nt
Filed under: uncultured fungus
Lineage: Eukaryota; Fungi
Description: eukaryotic LSU rRNA
Rfam family: 5.8S ribosomal RNA (bases 237-390)
Source: RNAcentral
CUUGGUCAUUUAGAGGAAGUAAAAGUCGUAACAAGGUUUCCGUAGGUGAACCUGCGGAAGGAUCAUUAACGAAAUCGGACUUCGGUCUGGUGACGUCUCUCUUGCUGUGCGCCUUUUGGCUGCACGCUUGGGAAUCCACACACCUGUGCACACUCGGUUGGCGGGCUUCGGCCCGCCUCUCGCCUACACUUACUUUGUAUGUCUCGAAUGUCUAUUAUCUUAUGAUAAAAAAAUACAACUUUCAGCAACGGAUCUCUUGGCUCUCGCAUCGAUGAAGAACGCAGCGAAAUGCGAUACGUAAUGUGAAUUGCAGAAUUCAGUGAAUCAUCGAAUCUUUGAACGCACCUUGCACCCCGUGGUUCUCCACGGGGUACGCCCGUUCGAGUGUCACGUAAACCAUCGCCUAAGCAAAGCUAGCUUUGCUCUGGCGGAUCUGGACGCCUGCCGUCGUUGGCUCGUCCGAAAUGCAUUAGCGAGGGUGGUCUCUCUAAACCGCUUGGCGUGAUAUUUCCUUCUCGCCUGUUGGUUCGGUCUAGGAGACGGCUCUGCUCCGAAUCCCGUCGCGUCGACGGAACAUUACAAAGUUUGACCUCGAAUCGGGUGGGACUACCCGCUGAACUUAAGCAUAUCAAUAAGCGGAGG